Molecule: long non-coding RNA, 691 nt
Organism: Micropterus dolomieu (smallmouth bass)
Lineage: Eukaryota; Metazoa; Chordata; Actinopteri; Centrarchiformes; Centrarchidae
Exons: 3
Source: RefSeq, a predicted model, not a curated record
CAACAGCGCUGGAUCAUCACACUUAAUGUGCUGUAAAUCUCAAAGUGUCGACCGAGACCAGGGCUCAAGAGGAGGGACUGAUGAUCCGGGUCUGGUGUGCAGAUUGCUGAUCUCUGGCAGAAAGAAAGAGGGAAAACCUAUGCUUCCGUAAGAACAAGUGGUUUGUUUACAGGUCCUGUCAGGAAAUUCUUGGAAGAAUUAUACAUCCUUCUAUCAAACAUCCCUGAAUAUGUCCUUUGUGAAUUCAACAUCCAGAUGGAGAAGUUAACAUCUGACUUAUUACCUUCAGUAUCCUCUUUCCCUCUCUCACAGCUUUGGCUAUUUAUAGUGCCCAUCCGAAUAAUCCAUCACCAUCAUUGCAGUGAUAUCUCAAUCGUCACUAUUGAAUUUAAUGUCAGAGAGAUGAUCGAUAAUUAAUAUAUAGCAUCCAUAUUGAAACAGAUGUGCCUCACAGUUCAGGAUCAAAUAAAAAUAUUAUUAACAGGGAAAAAUUGGUAAUAAUUAAUGUAAGUAAUGUAAAUAAAAAUAUAAAAUCAUUCAUGAAUAAUUAAAAAUUAAGCUUAAAAAUGCACCAUUAAGUGACUAUGAGUAACAAGAUAUGAUAUAAAUUGGGAAUUAGGGCCAAGUGGUCCAUUAAUUACCACAAGGUGGAAUGAUGGUCUGUUACCCUUGACAAAGUAAUACCUAGAUA